AAGCGGUGGAGCAUGUGGUUUAAUUCGAUGCAACGCGAAGAACCUUACCUGGCUUGACAUCCCGGGAAUCCCCUGGAAACAGGGGAGUGCCCUUCGGGAACCCGGUGACAGGUGCUGCAUGGCUGUCGUCAGCUCGUGUCGUGAGAUGUUGGGUUAAGUCCCGCAACGAGCGCAACCCUUGUCUUUAAUUGCCAUCAUUUAGUUGGGCACUUUAAAGAGACUGCCGGUGUUAAGCCGGAGGAAGGUGGGGAUGGCGUCAAGUCCUCAUGGCCUUUAUGCCCAGGGCUACACACGUGCUACAAUGGUCGGUACAAAGGGUUGCCAAGCCGCGAGGUGGAGCUAAUCCCAUAAAACCGAUCGUAGUCCGGAUCGCAGUCUGCAACUCGACUGCGUGAAGUCGGAAUCGCUAGUAAUCGCAGGUCAGCAUACUGCGGUGAAUACGUUCCCGGGCCUU
This 454-nucleotide ribosomal RNA is filed under the name uncultured Smithella sp. RNAcentral describes it as "bacterial SSU rRNA". It matches the Rfam family "Bacterial small subunit ribosomal RNA", at positions 927 to 1382 of the family's 1533-position model. The record is from RNAcentral. Lineage: Bacteria; Pseudomonadati; Thermodesulfobacteriota; Syntrophia; Syntrophales; Smithellaceae.